GCCUUUUUCCACAACGGGUUUUUAAAACGCCACCAUCUUUGAUAUAUGUCGGUUUGAUUGGGGGACGACCGGACACGAUAUUACUUCUUUGUAUUUAGUGAUCAGUGACAUUGGAUUACAUCGAUUUGAUGGAUUAAAACUAUCUGCACAUCUUACUGCUUAGAUCGCCGUCCCAGAUACGAUUCUCCCGCUUUAAAGCAAGACGUCUGGCGUCGAGAAAAGAAGGGAAAGAAUCGAGGUGUACUAAAGAUGUGGAACGGUGGAUAUUAUUAUUUCAAUGUAACCGAUAUAAAGAUUGAUAAAUAAAAAUUAAACUAAGG
Molecule: long non-coding RNA, 320 nt
Organism: Aethina tumida (small hive beetle)
Lineage: Eukaryota; Metazoa; Arthropoda; Insecta; Coleoptera; Nitidulidae
Exons: 3
Source: RefSeq, a predicted model, not a curated record